GAUGAACGCUGGCGGCGUGCCUAAUACAUGCAAGUCGAGCGAACGGACGAGAAGCUUGCUUUUCUGAUGUUAGCGGCGGACGGGUGAGUAACACGUGGAUAACCUACCUAUAAGACUGGGAUAACUUCGGGAAACCGGAGCUAAUACCGGAUAAUAUUUUGAACCGCAUGGUUCAAAAGUGAAAGACGGUCUUGCUGUCACUUAUAGAUGGAUCCGCGCUUCUUUAGAUAGUUGGUAAGUUAACGGCUUACCAAGGCAACGAUGCAUAGCCGACCUGAGAGGUGGAUCGGCAACACUGGAACGGGGACACGGUCAAGACUCCUACGGGAGGAAGCAGAAGGGAAUCUUCGGCAAUGGGCGAAAGCCUGACGGAGCAACGCCGCGUGAGUGAUGAAGGUCUUCGGAUCGUAAAACUCUGUGAUUAGGGAAGAACAUAUGUGUAAGUAACUGUGCACAUCUUGACGGUACCUAAUCAGAAAGCCACGGCUAACUACGUG
RNAcentral lists this ribosomal RNA (497 nucleotides) under uncultured bacterium. RNAcentral's name for it is "partial 16S ribosomal RNA". It matches the Rfam family "Bacterial small subunit ribosomal RNA", at positions 28 to 507 of the family's 1533-position model. The record is from RNAcentral.